UCUAACCACAAAAUUCGUUUCAUCCAUCAGACGCUCCACCUUUCUCUACAAACCCUAACCCUAACCUUCAUUUCCUCCACCGCUCCUCCACCGCUCCUCCAUCGAACCGGUCGUCGCCAUCACCGUCUUCUCCCCUUCUCCACUCCAACAAUCGCUUCAUGGCUUCUUUCCUGGUGGCUUCUAGAUCCGACACUAUCUCAGCAGAUUCGACACCAGAUCCGACACCAGAUCCGACACCACAUCGAUUUCUAUGGCUUCUUUCCCGGUGGCUUCAAGAUCCGACACUAUCUCAGUAGAUCCGACACCAGAUCUACUGGUUUGACUGUAGGAUCUUCCUUUUGGUUGUGGGUUCGUCAACGAUGGUGCUUGUGGGUGGAAGAUCUGGCAAGAUCUAUGGUUUAUUUGUAGUAGAUCUGUUCUUUGGUUUCAAACAGUGCGACUUUAUGGCGUCUGCAGAUGCUGAGCUGGAGCGAUUGCUUAAGGAGACAGGGAAACAGUUAUCGCUUCCUCAUGAUUAUGUUGAUGAACUUCUUCAAGUUCUUGAUCUUGUUGACAUAUUGGAUGAAGGGAUUAUUUCACCAGAUCUUGGAACCC
Molecule: long non-coding RNA, 594 nt
Organism: Helianthus annuus (common sunflower)
Lineage: Eukaryota; Viridiplantae; Streptophyta; Magnoliopsida; Asterales; Asteraceae
Exons: 4
Source: RefSeq, a predicted model, not a curated record